UCAAGUUAUUAAGGGUGCAGGGCGGAUGCCUUGGCACUAGGAGCCGAUGAAGGACGUGAUAAGCUGCGAUAAGCUUCGGGGAGUUGCACGUAAACUUUGAUCCGAAGAUUUCCGAAUGAGGAAACUCACUUAGAGUAAUGUCUAAGUAUCAUUAAGUGAAUACAUAGCUUAAUGAGGGGAACUCAGGGAACUGAAACAUCUAAGUACCUGAAGGAAGAGAAAGAAAUUCGAUUCCGUAAGUAGCGGCGAGCGAACGCGGAUUAGCCCAAACCAAUAAAGUUUUCUUUACUGGGGUUGCGGACAUAUCAUAACGAAGAGGUAUCGUAAUUGAAGAGGUUUGGAAAGACCCACCACAGAAGGUAAUAGUCCUGUAUGUUAAACGAGAAGACUUCAGAUAUGAUCCAGAGUACCACGGGACACGUGAAACCCUGUGGGAAGCAGGAGGGACCACCCUCCAAGGCUAAAUACUACCUAGUGACCGAUAGCGUAUAGUACCGUGAGGGAAAGGUGAAAAGAACCCCGGGAGGGGAGUGAAAUAGAACCUGAAACCCUGCACUUACAAGCUGUGGAAGCACAUUUCUUGUGUGACCGCGUACUUUUUGUAGAACGGGCCAACGAGUUACGUUAAGUAGCAAGGUUAAGCACUUAAGGUGCGGAGCCGUAGCGAAAGCGAGUUUUAACUGAGCGUUCAGUUACUUGACGUAGACCCGAAACCGGGCGACCUACCCAUGAGCAGGAUGAAGCGAAAGUAAAAUUUCGUGGAGGUCCGAACCCACGAGCGUUGAAAAGCUCGGGGAUGACUUGUGGGUAGCGGUGAAAUUCCAAUCGAGCCCGGAGAUAGCUGGUUCUCCCCGAAAUAGCUUUAGGGCUAGCCUCAAGGUGAGAGAUACGGAGGUAGAGCACUGAAUGUCCUAGGGGGUAUUGCACCUACCGAAGACUAUCAAACUCCGAAUGCCGUCAUCUUAUACUUGGGAGUCAGACUGUGGGUGAUAAGAUUCAUAGUCAAAAGGGCAACAGCCCAGAUCGUCAGCUAAGGUCCCUAAAUGUAAGUUAAGUGGUAAAGGAUGUGGGAUUGCACAGACAACCAGGAUGUUGGCUUAGAAGCAGCCACUCAUUCAAAGAGUGCGUAAUAGCUCACUGGUCGAGUGAUCCUGCGCCGAAGAUUUCCGGGGCUAAAACUUACUACCGAAGCUACGGCAUCAUUAUGAUGGGUAGGGGAGCUUCCCAUACGGGUUGAAGCAUGACCGUAAGGACAUGUGGACAGUAUGGGAGUGAGAAUGUUGGCAUGAGUAGCGAGAUGUGGGUGAGAAUCCCACAGGCCGUAAACCCAAGGUUUCCAGGGGAAGGUUCGUCCGCCCUGGGUUAGUCGGGACCUAAGCUGAGGCCGAAAGGCGUAGGUGAUGGACAACAGGUUGAUAUUCCUGUACUACCGAUAACCGUUUGAGAGAAGGGAUGACACAGUAGGAUAAGCUAAGCACACUGUUGGUUAUGUGUGCCCAAGCAUUGAGGCAGUCAAAGUAGGCAAAUCCGCUUUGAUAAUGCUGGGAUGUGAUGGGGAGCGAAAUUUAGUAGCGAAGUAGCUGAUUUCACACUGUCAAGAAAAGUCUCUAUCGAGGUUAAAGGUACCCGUACCGCAAACCGACACAGGUGGGUGAGGAGAGUAUCCUAAGGCCAGCGAGAGAACUGUUGUUAAGGAACUCGGCAAAAUGACCCCGUAACUUAGGGAUAAGGGGUGCCACCAUCCGGUGGCCGCAGAGAAUAGGCCCAAGCGACUGUUUACCAAAAACAUAGGUUUCUGCUAAGUCGCAAGACGAUGUAUAGGAGCUGACGCCUGCCCGGUGCUGGAAGGUUAAGGGGAUCUGUUAGAGCAAUCGAAGCAGUGAACUUAAGCCCCAGUAAACGGCGGCCGUAACUAUAACGGUCCUAAGGUAGCGAAAUUCCUUGUCGGGUAAGUUCCGACCCGCACGAAAGGCGUAACGAUUUGGGCACUGUCUCAACAACAGACUCGGUGAAAUUGUAAUUCCGGUGAAGAUGCCGGAUACCUGCGACAGGACGGAAAGACCCCAUGGAGCUUUACUGUAGCUUGACAUUGGGUCUUGGUACUACAUGUACAGGAUAGGUGGGAGGCUUUGAAACCAGGACGCCAGUUUUGGCGGAGCCAUCCUUGGGAUACCACCCUUGUAGUACUGGGACUCUAACCAUAGGCCAUGAAUCUGGUCUUGGGACACUGUCAGGUGGGCAGUUUGACUGGGGCGGUCGCCUCCCAAAAGGUAACGGAGGCGCUCAAAGGUUCUCUCAGUACGGUCGGAAAUCGUACGUAGAGUGUAAAGGCAAAAGAGAGCUUGAUUGCAAGACAUACAGGUCGAGCAAGGAUGAAAAUCGGACUUAGUGAUCCGGUGGUUCUGCGUGGAAGGGCCAUCGCUCAACGGAUAAAAGCUACCCUGGGGAUAACAGGCUUAUCUCCCCCAAGAGUCCACAUCGACGGGGAGGUUUGGCACCUCGAUGUCGGCUCAUCACAUCCUGGGGCUGUAGUAGGUCCCAAGGGUUGGGCUGUUCGCCCAUUAAAGUGGUACGCGAGCUGGGUUCAGAACGUCGUGAGACAGUUCGGUCCCUAUCCGUCGCAGGCGUAGGAAAUUUGAGAAGACCUGUCCUUAGUACGAGAGGACCGGGAUGGACGUACCUCUGGUGUACCAGUUGUUCUGCCAAGGGCAUGGCUGGGUAGCUAUGUACGGAAUGGAUAAGCGCUGAAAGCAUCUAAGCGCGAAGCCAACUUCAAGAUAAGAUUUCCCACCGCAAGGGUAAGACCCCAGAAAGACUAUCUGGUUGAUAGGUCGAAGGUGUAAGUGCAGCAAUGUAUUUAGCUUAUCGAUACUAAUAGGUCGAGGACUUGACCAA
Molecule: ribosomal RNA, 2895 nt
Filed under: Clostridioides difficile M68
Lineage: Bacteria; Bacillati; Bacillota; Clostridia; Peptostreptococcales; Peptostreptococcaceae
Description: bacterial LSU rRNA
Rfam family: Bacterial large subunit ribosomal RNA
Source: RNAcentral